AUUGAACGCUGGCGGCAGGCCUAACACAUGCAAGUCGAACGAGUGGCGGACUGGUGAGUAAGUUCUGGGAAAAUGCCUGAUGGAGGGGGAUAACUACUGGAACCGGUAGCUAAUACAGCCUACCAUCGGCUGUGCCCAGAUGGGAUUAGCUAGUAGGUGGGGUAACGGCUCACCUAGGCGACGAUCCCUAGCUGGUCUGAGAGGAUGACCAGCCACACUGGAACUGAGACACGGGCCAGACGCCUAGGGGAGGCAGCAGUGGGGAAUAUUGCACAAUGGGCGCAAGCCUGAUGCAGCCAUGCCGCGUGUAGGAAGAAGGCCUUCGGGUUGUAAAGUACUUUCAGCGGGGAGGCGUUACCCGCAGAAGAAGCACCGGCUAACUCCGUGCCAGCAGCCGCGGUAAUUC
This 406-nucleotide ribosomal RNA is filed under the name uncultured bacterium. RNAcentral describes it as "partial 16S ribosomal RNA". It matches the Rfam family "Bacterial small subunit ribosomal RNA", at positions 30 to 526 of the family's 1533-position model. The record is from RNAcentral.